GUCUUCUUGUAAUAUUUAGGAAGUCUGACCUGCCCAGUGAAAAUUUAAAUUUAACGGCCGCGGUAUUCUGACCGUGCAAAGGUAGCAUAAUCAUUAGUCUUUUAAUAGAGGGCUGGAAUGAAGGGUUUGACGAGGUGUUGACUGUCUCAUUUAAUUUGAAUUUAGAAUUUAACUUUUUAGUCAAAAGGCUGAAAUAAUAUUGGAAGACGAGAAGACCCUAUAGAGCUUUAUAGUAUUUUUAUUAAUAAAUUUUAGUAAAUGGUUAUUUAUUAUUAUAAUCUAUUAUUUUGUUGGGGUGACAAAAAUAUAUAAUAAACUUUUUUAUUUAUUUAACAUUGAUUUAUGAUUAUUAGAUCCAAUUUUAUUGAUUAUUAGAACAAGUUACCUUAGGGAUAACAGCGUAAUCUUCUUUCAGAGUUCAUAUUUACAAGAAGGCUUGCGACCUCGAUGUUGGAUUAAGAUGAUAAUUAGGUGUAGCUGCUUAAUGUAUAGGUCUGUUCGACCUUUAAAUUCUU
This 515-nucleotide ribosomal RNA is filed under the name Epiophlebia superstes. RNAcentral's name for it is "partial 16S rRNA". It matches the Rfam family "Bacterial large subunit ribosomal RNA", at positions 1819 to 2597 of the family's 2925-position model. Lineage: Eukaryota; Metazoa; Arthropoda; Insecta; Odonata; Epiophlebiidae. The record is from RNAcentral.